CACCCAGGGGAGGGAGGAGGGAAGAGGUUGGCAGAAAUAUGCAAAUGCGGAGUGGGUGUGAGCAGGAAUGGGCCAGGGCAGGCAGGGAAGCCCGGGGACUGGGGCGGGCGAUUGAGGAACCUGUGUUUUGCUUCUGAGUUCUACCCCAGGAUGGCCAGAGGAGACCAGGCUUGACUGACAGCCCUGUUUCCUAGGGGAUGUCACUGUCUAGGUAGAGAUGCUGGAGAUAUAGCAGGAAGAAAACACACCCAAAUCCUGGCCUGCAUGGAGCUGAUAUUGUAAGAUACCCCACACCAUCAGUCAAAGAUAUACCAUGUCAGCAAGAGGAAGCCUGGAUAUGCCGUGUGUGUUUUUCUAGUGGUGAUUGUUUCUUCAUUAGAGCCUACAAAGUCGGUAUGUUUUAAAAUCCAAAACUGGAACAAAAUGAAAGCCGU
Molecule: long non-coding RNA, 434 nt
Filed under: Homo sapiens (human)
Lineage: Eukaryota; Metazoa; Chordata; Mammalia; Primates; Hominidae
Description: non-protein coding lnc-AACS-3:1
Source: RNAcentral